This 165-nucleotide small nuclear RNA is filed under the name Pogona vitticeps (central bearded dragon). Its description in RNAcentral is "U1 spliceosomal RNA (ENSPVIG00000007033.1)". It matches the Rfam family "U1 spliceosomal RNA". Rfam says of the family: U1 is a small nuclear RNA (snRNA) component of the spliceosome (involved in pre-mRNA splicing). Its 5' end forms complementary base pairs with the 5' splice junction, thus defining the 5' donor site of an intron. Lineage: Eukaryota; Metazoa; Chordata; Lepidosauria; Squamata; Agamidae. The record is from RNAcentral.
ACUCAUACCUUGUAGGGGAAAUACCAUGUUGUCAAAGUAAUUUUCUUAGGGAGAGGCUCAUCCAUUGCACUUUGGGUUUGCAAUUGACCCCUGUGAUUUCCCCAAAUGUGGGGAACUCAACUGUAUAAUUUGUGUUAAUGGGGGCAUUAUGUUUGUGAUUUCUGU